Molecule: ribosomal RNA, 402 nt
Filed under: uncultured bacterium
Lineage: Bacteria
Description: partial 16S ribosomal RNA
Rfam family: Bacterial small subunit ribosomal RNA
Source: RNAcentral
AUUGAACGCUGGCGGCAGGCCUAACACAUGCAAGUCGAGCGAGCGGCGGACGGGUGAGUAAUGUAUGGGGACUGCCCGAUAGAGGGGGAAAAUACUGGAAAAGGUGGUAAAUACCGCCUACUGUCGGAUAACCCAUAUGGGAUUAGCUAUUGGGUAAGGUAAUGGCUUAACUAGGCGACGAUCCCUAGCUGGUAGGAGAGGAUGAUCAGCCACACUGGGACUGAGACACGGCCCAGACUCCUACGGAGGCAGCAGUGGGGAAUAUUGCACAAUGGGCGCAAGCCUGAUGCAGCCAUGCCGCGUGUAUGAAGAAGGCCCUAGGGUUGUAAAGUACUUUCAGUCGGGAGGCGUUACCGACAGAAGAAGCACCGGCUAACUCCGUGCCAGCCGCCGCGGUAAUUC